CAACCAACGGCUCGCGAAGCAGCAGCGAGUGAGCUACGACAAUGGCCGCCGCAAUCUACUUAGCUUCCUCUAAACCUUCUUCCUCUCCUCCAUGUCUUCCUCUCCCACGCCGUCCCUCCUCGCCUCCUCCUUCCUCGACGCUUCUUCUUUCUGGACGAGGCGAUCGCCGGGGAACGGUGGCGGUGCUGCUGGCUGGGGGAGUCGCAGCCCUCGCCGCCGCGGCGUCAGCUCAGGCUUUGCCGGUCGGAUCUCCCGCGAUCGAUGCGCUUUCUUCUCUCCAGGAGCCCGAGAACGCGCUGUCCCUGCCCACCUGGGCGAUCCACGUCUCCAGCGUCAUCGAAUGGGUCACUGCGAUGGCAUUGGUGUGGGAAUACGGGGAGAAGUCCGGGCUCCAGACUUGGAAAGGUCUCUGCUGGGGAAUGGUUCCACUUCUUGGAGGAGCAUUUUGUGCAUGUACAUGGCAUUUCUUUUAUAACUCAGAGUCUCUUGAGGUAUUGGUAGCUCUUCAGUCAGCAUUGACAGUUCUUGGCAACAUGACGAUGUGUUUUGCUGCAUAUCGAAUAUAUAAAGCAUCCCAAGAAGGCUCAACGAGCUCCUAAGUUGAGUCCAUGAGUCGAAGAAAGGUAAUGACUAGUGGCCAUACUGUACUGUUUGUUAUUAUGCUUGUGAUUCCCCUAGUUAUCAUUAUAUUUUCAAUGUUUAAAAUAUAUUUAAGAUGUGUUUUCUUAAAGUUAGGGUCUCAAGAUUGAAAUAUUUGCUAUGAAAUUCAUCAUUUUGUGCUGAUCGACACACGAAAUAGAUUUGGGUCUCAAGAUGAUGCAAAUGCAUGAUUUCCAGCUGACCUUGAAUUGCAGCUUGCACGAGCUACGACCUUGAGUUGUACACCUUUGCCAAAACAUUGCUGUUAUUCCUCUCUGGUCAAGGAGUUGUUCUUAAUUUCGCCUGCUGUUCCAUGCCUUUAAGACAAAUCCUAAGCUCAUUGUUCUGACAUUUCAGUGCUGUUAUUCCUGUCUGGUCAAGGAGUUGUUCAUGAGCCAUGAAAUAAUCAACAUAACAAUCAGCCAAUAUGAACUCAUGCCUGCAGCGUGUUCAAUUGCUCAGAUAGUAUAGUUGCUUCAGUCUGCAACGCUUGCAACUUGUUCUCUAAUUCUGAGAUGAACCUCAGCUUCUUCUCCUUCGAUCGAGCUGCUGAUUGCCUGUUCGCCAAAAUCCUGAUGGAGAUUCAACAGCCGUUUGAGAUUUCCUGAAAAUUGAGAAGAACAAAAGUUGGAAAAGCACCUCUUGAUUCUCUUUGAAUCUGUUUCUGCCAUUUCUACGAGCUUCUUGUUCGCCAGAAUCUUCUUCAUCUCGGUGCUGUUGAACUCCGAACUUGAGGUGUUGGUCAUGGUGUCCUGGAGCUUUCCUAUAAGACUCUCCAUGGAAAGGCUACGGAAGUGAUUCGUGGUUGCGGAGCCGCUCUUGUUGCCCUCCUUGAUACCAUCGCCAUUUGCAGCGGUGCCGUCGGCCGUGGUGAUCAUCCUCCUUGGAAAGGAUUAAUCUGCAGCUAUCCAAAUCGUCAGGCUUCUCCUCUGUUGCCGACCCGUCGAGUGGGUCGAAAUAGUCCAAGUUCAUAUAGGCAUUGAAGAGAUCAUUGGCGGCGUUGCUAAUCGCCUACGGGCUGCUCUCCGUUUCAGCUUCUGGCUUCACUUUUCCCUCCACAAGGACUGGCGAGGAAGAAGAGAGGCGAUGAGUCUUGUCCCGAGGCAUGCCAUCCGAGGCGGCGGCACCGGCACCGGCAGUGGUAAAGGAGGGAUGGGGCAGGGAAUCGUGGCACAGGUAAUCGAGGGGCUGCGAGAAGUGGAAGUGGGCGGAGGUAGGAGACAGAGAUCGAACCGAAGCGGUCGAUGCAGAUGGAGAGGAUGUAAUGCCGAGCCGGGUAAAGCUGAUGGGCACAAACUGGUGAAAGAACGUCGCACCGGCAGAGGGAACGGCGGCUGAGGAUGACAGAGAUGAGAUCGCCGGCAAGGGCUCGAGCCCGUCGUAUUUCGGCAGGAAUUCGAUGACCGUGAUUCUUUUCUAGGUUCAUAUUUUUACUGAGGUUAUAGUUUCAACCGGGACACCGGGACAGACGAUCAGAAGUCAUCCCAGCUCGACACUGGACACCUUGGCCAUCCACCACCGGCGGCUUUCCGAUAGGAAUAUGAAUCGAAAAAGGAAUUACAAUCAAUAACGGUUACAAUUAAAAUCAUGGAAUAUUAUAGGAAUGCUAUAAAGGAUUUAUUCCCGUUUACCCUCAGCGCAUUCUACUCA
Zingiber officinale is the source of this 2289-nucleotide RNA transcript. It is a transcript of the gene named ycf49-like protein, with no coding region annotated. Lineage: Eukaryota; Viridiplantae; Streptophyta; Magnoliopsida; Zingiberales; Zingiberaceae. The record is from RefSeq and is a predicted model, not a curated record. The transcript has 5 exons.